Molecule: long non-coding RNA, 216 nt
Filed under: Mytilus galloprovincialis (Mediterranean mussel)
Lineage: Eukaryota; Metazoa; Mollusca; Bivalvia; Mytilida; Mytilidae
Source: RNAcentral
CCCCCACUGGCGGCCAUCUUGGAUGACAGAUCGGCUACAAAGUAACAACACUUGGUCAGCACCUCAUAAGGAACAUUCAUGCCAUGUUUGGUUUUAUUCAAUUCAGUGGUUCUCUAAAAGAAGUCAUUUGUAUGCAUUUCCCAUAGGGUCCUAUGUUAAACUAAGUCCCCUGCUGGCGGCCAUCUUGGAUGAUGAAUCGGCUACAAAGUAACAACA